GAUGAACGCUGGCGGCGUGCCUAAUACAUGCAAGUCGAGCGGAGAGGCCUCUUCGGAGGUACUCGAGCGGCGGACGGCUGAGUAACACGUAGGAACGUACCCUGAAGUGAGGGAUAACUGCUCGAAAGAGUAGCUAAUACCGCAUGUGCUCUAAGGAGUAAAGCUUCGGCGCUUUGGGAACGGCCUGCGUCUGAUUAGCUAGAUGGUGAGGUAAUGGCUCACCAUGGCGACGAUCAGUAGCUGGUCUGAGAGGAUGAUCAGCCAGACUGGGACUGAGACACGGCCCAGACUCCUACGGGAGGCAGCAGAAGGGAAUUUUCCACAAUGGGCGAAAGCCUGAUGGAGCAACGCCGCGUGCAGGAUGAAUGCCUUCGGGUUGUAAACUGCUUUUAUAUGUGACGAAUAUGACGGUAGCAUAUGAAUAAGGAUCGGCUAACUCCGUGCCAGCCGCCGCCGUAA
RNAcentral lists this ribosomal RNA (459 nucleotides) under uncultured bacterium. Its description in RNAcentral is "partial 16S ribosomal RNA". It matches the Rfam family "Bacterial small subunit ribosomal RNA", at positions 28 to 523 of the family's 1533-position model. The record is from RNAcentral.